This 140-nucleotide transfer RNA is filed under the name Salmonella enterica subsp. enterica serovar Heidelberg. RNAcentral describes it as "tRNA-Lys". It matches the Rfam family "RtT RNA". From Rfam's summary of the family: This family represents a bacterial cis-regulatory element known as RtT RNA. Lineage: Bacteria; Pseudomonadati; Pseudomonadota; Gammaproteobacteria; Enterobacterales; Enterobacteriaceae. RNAcentral also lists the same sequence under 6 other names. The record is from RNAcentral.
GGGUCGUUAGCUCAGUUGGUAGAGCAGUUGACUUUUAAUCAAUUGGUCGCAGGUUCGGGUCUCACGUAGUGAGACAACGGAGCCGCUUGCGGCGACGGCCCGAAGGGCGAGCAAAGCGAGUCAUCCUGCACGACCCACCA